Long non-coding RNA from Phragmites australis (common reed), 1054 nucleotides. RefSeq lists it as uncharacterized. NCBI's taxonomy places the organism in Eukaryota, Viridiplantae, Streptophyta, Magnoliopsida, Poales, Poaceae. The record is from RefSeq and is a predicted model, not a curated record. The transcript has 2 exons.
GACCGUGGUUGCGUUCAUCUCGUCGAGACGAACCCAUUUUGCUAUUCAUAUGUCCGUUCCGGGCACUUUGAGACCCGUAGCGAGCCCAAUAAAUUUAGACCGUUCGUUGUUUAAAAAAUAAAAAAUAAAAAAAAAGAGAGAAGAGAUAAAGCUCCGGUCGUCACUCGAUCCAUCCAGAGGUUUCGAGCGCUCGCGUCUCUUUUUUCUUCUCUCUCUCUCAGUGUGUCGCGCGCCCAAGCUCAUCGUUGUGCUCUGCGCCGAGCUCCCGCCGCCGCCUUGCCGCUGCUCGCCGCGCCGCUGCGCCGCGCCACCACCUGCCGUGCGCCGUCGUCGCGCUGGGCCGGCUCUGCGCCGUCGCGCCAGGCUGUGCGUCCUGCCGCCUCUGCGCUGAGCUGCUGCUGCCGCCGGUGCUGCGCGCUGCCGUGCCUCUGUGCUAAUCGCUGUGUGAAGGAGCAGCAGCAGCCGCCAGCCAGCCGGCCGAAGUAGCCAGCUGACCGAUCGAAGAAGCAAGCAGCCAGCGCAGGAAGAAGCCAGGAAAAAGAAAAGGGAAGAAAAAAAAAGAGAAAAGAAAAAAAAGGGGGAAAGUUGGAAAUUUCGGAAUUUCGUCGGAUUCGUCGUCAAUCUUUCGAAGGCGAUUUCUCGGUAUGUUUAGAUGUUGACGUGCAUUUUGGGGAUGGAUCUUGGUAGCUGCACACACUACCUCAUCACCAUGUUGAUAGCUCAACCGGUGUUAUAAAUGGUGUUUUUGGUGGUCUGUCGUUUGCUUGGUUCAUGUUGUGGUAGACGCUGGUAGCGUCAUAACGGUUUCUAUAUAGGCUGGUUAUAUCUGAUUCUGUCUGCCUGAGAUAUUUCUUUUGGUCAGUUAUACCUCUCUAUAGAGGAAAUGCUGCCAAAAUAUCCUAUUUUCAUAUAAAUAGGCUGAGUUGUAAAGUAGGGUGUUACAGCUUGGUAUCAGAGCCUAGGCUUUAGGUCCUAGGUAAUUGAAUGAUGAACCUGACACACUUGCACAAAUAGAAUGGGUAUGGGAUGCAUUGCAUUGCACACGUCUUGUUUA